UCUGAACAUUUCAGAAUGUUUAGGACAGUGAGCUACUGGUUUGGAAAGCUGCAAGCAUGAUCCUAUCCAGGAGGACAUGGGCUCAUGACUGUCACGGGUGUGUACAGCCUACAGCAUGCAGCUUGUCUCUGCAGCACGGGGCUGCACCUUUCUUCCAGAGGGACAUCACUACCAAACAAAACCUAGGUAUUUUGCUUAAAAGCAAUUGUUGUCUAAUAAUGGGCAUGAAGGUCUGAGUGACAAGAAAAGGUUUUUAAACAGGUAAAAAUGUGAAAGCCUUUUAUAAAAUGUUUUAUUACACUAUUGUUACAUGAGAAUGAACCAAAAAAUUAAAUUGUAGGCAAUUAAAAACCCCCACAAGUCAUGGUGAAGCAGGAAGAUUUGCUGAGGGCUCCUUUAUUCCCAGUGAGUUUGGCAUCCUGAGGCCUGUGGUGAUAGUAACAGAGAGUCUAAAAUGGUAAGAUUGAGCACACGCUAUAAAAUGAGGAGGGUUUUAUAGUGGCUGCAUUUUAUUUGCGUGUAAAGCCUCUAUCCUUUCUGCCUCUAAAGAACACUUGUUGCCAAGUUAGAGCAUCCAGACAUAACGCAAGGUAAACCCUGAGGAAAUCAUGCAAAAUGCUGCUGGGUGGGUUUUGAAAGCCCACGGAUUCUUUUCUCACUUAAUGCAACUAGGGCUUUGCUUUCCCUGAGCAAGACAAGUGUCAGUGGUUUCCUCCCUAAGAUCUGCAGGAGGAGGCUGUUUUUAGCUGAGAGCUGCUGCUUUGCCUAUCACUGAAGUGUGGUUGUAGGAUGCCUGGGAGAGAAGGCAGCUGGAGAGAAGGAAGGCAGAAGGGGAACGCUGGGAGGGAGAGCUCGGGGCUAACAAGGCAGUGCGCUGGGGAUGUACUCACCCAGCAAGGGCAACUUGGAGCCAGGCGGAUCAGGGUGUGUGUGUGGGGCGGCUUUUUGGCAAUCCCUCGCCUUUUAGGUUCUCUCACUUGUUUGAUAUUCUAGGGAGUUCUGACUUAUUUGUACCAUUCCAAUGAUACUGCGAGGUUAAAAAUAUGUUUCCGUGUACAUAGCAAUUAACACAGGCUCUGUGGAGUGGAAUAUUCCAGGAUUUAGGAGACUGCUAGACUUUUUAUUGUCUCUAGCCAGCAGAUGGCGGUAGUGUACCACAGAAGAGCACAGGGCGAGCGCUUGGUGAAACCCGGAGGUUCAGUUUUGUUUUGCUUUGUUUUUUAAGCUUGACAAUACCCAUCUAUAUAUCCUGUGGGCGCACAGUGUUUGAGCCUAGUCUAAUCUUAAACUUGUUUUAUGAUGAUAUCAUUAUUUUUUACUGCUACAAAUUAACUGUCGGUUUCAAUCUACCCCAUAUUUCAGCUGCCUUGGGGGAUCAUCUUGUCAGUUGUGCGGCUUUCCAAUUUUAUGACUGAGAUCAAGACUGAUUCCUUAAAGGCACAUGGGAAACAAUGAAAUGUGGGGCGGUGACAGUGAGCUCCGUUCGGUGGCCACUCCUGGAGGUGAUCAGGAAUGCGAGGGAAGGGCAAGCCACUAAGUCCAUGGUUCUUUUGAAAAGUGACUGCCUUGACAUUUACUCAGGUUCAGUCACUCAUUUAGGUAUGAUCCUCACCAUCAAUGGAGUGGAGUGGGGCUUCAUGAAUCCUAAUAUUAUCCUACAGAGUUAUGUUCAAACACAGGAGAAAGUAAAGAGAGUUUCCAGGGCACAGACAUCCUUGUUGAUUCACAGGAAAUUCUUUCUUCUUUAGCAGGGACCUAAGGCGCCUGCAAACAAUCAGUGUUUACUCUCCCUAGAGUCUGGGGCCUUCUGGAUACCUACUGGGUGCUUGCCCUUGUGUGAAAAGUCCUUGUGAACUUACAGGCCAGAAGCUCCCGACUGCUGCCUAAUCUUUUCCUGAAGCGUAAGGGCAAAAGAGAUUAGGAUCUUCUUGAUAGAGUUGGCAGAGCACCAUUGAUUGAUGAUAAACUUGAAGGAGAAAGGGGUCAUAUUGCAGCUUGCCCCAGUCAAAGAUUUCCGUCAGCCGCAUAGGGUUGUAAAUCCGUUGCCAGCCAGAACACUGUCCAUGGACCGGCUGAGAGGCAGGGACAAUUGAAGCCCAGAGGCGGUGAAAGGGCCAGGCUGCUCCUGAAAUGCCGGGUGGACAGAAGUGUGGGUUCAGGCUUCUCUAAAAUCAUCUGUUGUCUGCAGAACGGCUGCUCUGGCUUCUUGAGCAAUCUGUGACCCGGGGCUCCUCUCAUCUCUUCCCCUCCCCACCUUCUGCACUUACUUAUAUAAUUGCUAGUUCUGCUUCUCUAACAUAGAAUUACUUGCAGAAUUUUCUUUUAAAUAGAAUGUCGGAACCCCAGCUUCUAGAAUGAGUUGGUUUUUUUAUUAGAAUAAAUAAAAGUGGCUACUCUAGAGCAGGUCCGACACGAGCAAGGUUCUUUCCAGGUUUUAUUUUAUCGUGCAUGUGAGCGUGAGUGCAUCAGAUGUCUUUGUCAAUCACUUCUCCACCUUAGUUUCUGAGACAUUAUCUCUCACUGAUGCUAGAACUCCAUCUUUAAGCUAAACUAGCUGGCCAGAAAGCCCCAGGACUCCUCCUGCCUCUGCCUCCUCCCAGGUGCUGGCCCUGACUCUCAGGUGCUGGCCCUGAUGCCUCCCAGGUGUUGUCUCUGCCUCCCUGGUGCUGAGAUUCUGGUGGGUACUGCUGCUGGGCCCAGCUGUUUCACAAAUGCUGGGGAAUCUGAACUCAGGCCCUUACAUUUGCAUGGCAAGCAUAUACUUUCCAGUCUAAACCAGCCCCCAAUUUUAAUUUUAUUAUACUCUUUUUCGAACUGAAUAUUGUUGUUUGUACUCUUUUUCUGUAUGAUACCUGCAGUUCAGAGGUUGAUGCAUUUUCCUACUGAAGGACAAAUUGAAAAUGAAAGCAGUGUCUGUCCGUGUUCCUCCCACAACGUGGUACUCCUUCUCUUUUAAAACAUUGCUGCUGUAACACCGUUUCAUGGUCCUGGACAGGUGGAACAGACAGAGAAAGGUAGAAAGUCCAAGAGAGACUGACACCUGCAAAUGUAUCAGGUAGAAGAGUCAAUACACAGAGGCUUCAAGGUUUCCAAUGGCUGGAUCUGCAGAGGUUUUGGAUAUUGGGAAACACAAUCAGGAGACUCUCCCUGGGGAUUUAGCCCACAGAGAGGGGCUGGCUUAUAUUGAGCCAGCGCUUCAGAGCUCCAUUGAUUGUGGAGUUAAAGGCAUAGAGGAAAAGCACAUUCUGAACUGCUAUGCCGGGGAAGUAUUUGCCUGGAUGCAGGGUAUAAAGGAAGGAUGCUAAUGCACUGGUCCUUUUGGCUCUUAGGCAAGGAUAACAACAGGGCUGGCAGCAGCAUCAUAUGACACAGACAGCCACAGGUAUUUAUGUAGAAGAAAAAGCUCACACAGUGAGAGCAGUGCCCAGAAACAUGUUGAAUGCUGAGCACGGUGCAAAUGGGCCCACUAUUGAUCUUUAGUGGAAAUGUUCAUGUCUGCCUCAUGAACAAAUAUUUCUCUGGAGACCUCCUCUAAAGAAAUAUUUAGUCUAACCUCUCCUCUCCUCUUUACAUUUUAGGGCUUCUCACUGGGCAGUAGGCUAGGGAACAAUCCCAGAAGACUUUAGGAGAAGACUUUGAGACAAUGUGGGCCAAUCCCCUAAGCUGUGAUACUGCGUCUCCACACACAUCCCAGGGUGGGAACUUCUUUUCUUGUCCAUGUAGAGGCUUGAAAUUAUUGAUUUAAAGCUUAUUCACUAGACUAUGCUGCAUUUUUUCCUCUGAGUUCUCAGGGUUAUGAAGAUAAUUGCCAUGCAAAUAGCCCUAAGAGACACAGCUAAUCCUUGCCCUUCCUCAGAGCUACAAGUGGUUGCAAGCAUGAAAAGUUUCUCUUUAACAAAGGGCAUCGUGACCCUGUGCUAAAUCUGUAUUGGUUUCUGUCUCCAACUCUGAGUUCUGAAAGCUCAAUUUAGCAUCCAAAAAAAAAAAAAAAAAAAAUCGAGCCAUGUUCUUUUCCUUCUGUACCUCAUUAUCAGCAAUGAAGAGUCGAAGAACAAGUGUUGGCUGGCAAUUUCACCAUGAUGCAUGACAGAGCAGAACACAGACUUGCUUUUUGUCAUCUAUAAGGUCUCCAAGUGAUUGACAAAAGCAGAUAUUUUUCAGCUGAAAUACAGAAGGGAGAGAAAGUUGGCGUGUUUAGUGAAGCAGAUUUACUCAUCAGACAUCGGGGGUGCUGCAGGUAACUCAUACAAAUAAAUGACAAAGGAUGACUAAGGAACAUAUAUGUAAUCAUGCAGUUGGCUUCUGCUCCCUUGUCCCACAAAGUACACAACACAAACGACAAUCUUUUGAUGCAGGAAGAGGGAGAGGGACUGUUCUGAGAAGAUCCUGAAGAAGCACUUUCGUACUUUAUGUUCCCUAGGAAGGUUUCUGUGCUCUUUAGGCAAAUCUGAUCCUCUUGCUAGCAUUCUAUUCUGGUGUUUAUGGCCUUCAGGAAAGCAAGAAGAACCCCAGAGCCUUCAUCUCUAGAGAUCAGCAGUCAGAAACUGAUGGCCUGUGCCUGGACCACAUCCAGCCAACAAAUAUUGAUAUUUGGCUUAUACAGUGUACAACUGCUUAAAAAUGUUUUGAACUACUUGCUAAAAAUUAAAAGCCAGGAGAUUUUCACAUUACAAAGAAAUCUGAAUUUUGGCUCUUUCACUGAAAAGUCUAAAUUUUGGCACCACUGGCCCGGUUUUCCACGUGGCAACUGGAGUUGUGUAGCCUUUGUGGCUUCUAGAACACACAUUCCCUUUGUGGGAGUUAGAAAAAGGCAUGCCUUCAGGCAUAUGAGUUGUAAGCUUGCCUCAUCAGAAAGCCCACAUGUAAUAGCUUUGCCACAACUGCCACCACCUGCUUAAGCUGUUUCACUUCUGUCUGAGCCCUUCAGACAUUUAAGUUUGUGACCACAGUCAACGCCUUUGGAGGGAGUUGCUGCCUGCAGCACACACCUUGAUGAAUAAGUGCCGGCCUAGGGGCCUUUCUUUAAUUUCUUGCCCAUAGAGAUGAGGGUUCAAGCAUUCUUUUUUCCUGAUAAGAAAGCGUCACAGUAGUGUAGAAAUUACAUCCACUGGAAGGGCUGCAUACCAUCCGGGUCCACCAACUUCCAAACUCUUCCUUCCUACCCUGUGCUAAUCUUGCUCUUAUUGUCAGCCUAUGAGAGAAGGUAUCUGAGGAGAUCAUAGCAAUUUCUCAAGAAUGAUGGAGGAAUUUGAAUCCCAUAACACAGAGAGCUUGAGGCAGACCUCAUGAGCCAUCUUUGAAUGAGCAACUUGCAGGAUCUAUCUCUGUCAACAGCUUGUUCUUAUUAAACAAAGUGAGUCCUGCAGCCCCUGAUAAUGGAUGACACCAAGGACCUAAAGAGCCCCUCUGUGGUCUUAACAAGUCUGAGAAUAGUUUUCCAGAAUCCAUCAGCUGUGCGUGUGUUUUUAAAGCACUGAAAUGACAGUCAUGAGGAUCGUUUAUGAAGUGCAGCUGUCUGUGAUGCUGCAGGAAUGAUAAAAUGAAGUGAUUGGUACAUUAUCGAGAGCUUAUAAAACAAUUUACAGCAAGCACGGUUAUGCCAUAGUUAGUGGUCUGUCUAGCAGAAUGGAUUUCAGUUUGGGAUUGAGCACUGGAACUAUUUACUAGUUAACUUGGACAAGUCACAUGACUGAAGCUUUCAAACCAAAAGCAGUUAGUCCCUGCAUCCAUAGUUCUGCAUCUGUGGGUUCAACCACAGAUCAAAAAUAACCAGAAAAAGACAACCACUUAAGUAUUGACUUGUACUGAUCCAGACCCCUGAACAUGGAUGUCAAUAAGGAGGCCUCUGCACUCCAGGGAGCCUCUGGUGGUGGAUAAGUAUUUUUCCCGGGUGCAAGAAGGGACUUUGAGAGCCCAUCCCAUAUGAAGGGUUACACUCUGGCCCUGGACACAUGGGGAAGGGCCCAGGACCAGCAUAGGAAGACUUGGUGGACUUUGCAGAGCCCCAGUUGAGGGCCCUACCCUGCCUGGGGAGUGGUGGGUG
Molecule: long non-coding RNA, 6043 nt
Filed under: Cricetulus griseus (Chinese hamster)
Lineage: Eukaryota; Metazoa; Chordata; Mammalia; Rodentia; Cricetidae
Description: lncRNA (ENSCGRG00015031912.1)
Source: RNAcentral